GGGCCAUACCAACCAGAGGCUUUUGAAGAAUGUACUUUUGGCGAUGAAUGAUAUUAUGUAAAUCAAGUUGAAGAUCAGAAUCAGCUCCUUUAAAAUAAGUGAUGUUGUUUCAUUUAAUGUAGAAUGAGACUUAAGAAAGUUCAGUGGAGAAGCUUUUAGGGACCAAAAUCCCAAUACAUAGUUAUAAGAAACUAGUUUUUCAUACCAAGAGAGGGGCUAGGUUUUUCUUACCUCACCAUGAAAGAAGAAUAGGGUAAUAUGAAGUUUUGACAUAUCUAACAAUUGUCAUAGGUUUUUCAGCCAAAGUAUCUGUAAGACACAUAAAAGAGAUAGAGAUUUGUUUAUCAUAACACCAAUCAGUUGCUCCUUUAUGUUGGAAUUCUUAAGAAGCCUAUGUUCGACUCGGUCACUUAAUUAAGCCAGCACUUCAUGGCUUCAAGAAGCAAGUCAAUAAUCUAAAGACGCGUCAAAUAUUAAGACAUUGCAUUGAUAAGUAAAAGAAGCAUGCCAAAUGAUUACAAAUAAUGCACCAAUUGGAUUAUUUGGUAUGUGUAGAAACAAGCUCUACAAAAUUUAAAGCACAGAAAGGUAGAUUAUUAAAUGAGUGGGACCAAAUCAGACAUUUUAUGUGAUAUAAACAGUAAAAGUUCUUUUUAUUGAAAAUUCAUUACUUUGAACC
This 679-nucleotide long non-coding RNA is filed under the name Coffea arabica (coffee). Its description in RNAcentral is "long non-coding RNA (CARA_LNC004588)". Lineage: Eukaryota; Viridiplantae; Streptophyta; Magnoliopsida; Gentianales; Rubiaceae. The record is from RNAcentral.